GCCCCCAUGGUGUAGCGGUUAGCACGCGAGCCUUUCACGCUUGUAGCACGGGUUCGAUUCCCGUUGGGGGUA
Molecule: transfer RNA, 72 nt
Filed under: Solirubrobacter phytolaccae
Lineage: Bacteria; Bacillati; Actinomycetota; Thermoleophilia; Solirubrobacterales; Solirubrobacteraceae
Also listed under: 2 other names
Description: tRNA-Glu
Rfam family: tRNA
About the family: Transfer RNA (tRNA) molecules are approximately 80 nucleotides in length. Their secondary structure includes four short double-helical elements and three loops (D, anti-codon, and T loops).
Source: RNAcentral